CACGCCGUAAACGAUGAAUACUAGGUGUAGGGGUUGUCAUGACCUCUGUGCCGCCGCUAACGCAUUAAGUAUUCCGCCUGGGGAGUACGGUCGCAAGAUUAAAACUCAAAGGAAUUGACGGGGGCCCGCACAAGCAGCGGAGCAUGUGGUUUAAUUCGAAGCAACGCGAAGAACCUUACCUAGACUUGACAUCUCCUGCAUUACCUCCAAAAAGGGAAAUCCCUUCGGGGACAGGAUGACAGGUGG
Molecule: ribosomal RNA, 246 nt
Filed under: uncultured Clostridium sp.
Lineage: Bacteria; Bacillati; Bacillota; Clostridia; Eubacteriales; Clostridiaceae
Description: partial 16S ribosomal RNA
Rfam family: Bacterial small subunit ribosomal RNA
Source: RNAcentral